Molecule: ribosomal RNA, 575 nt
Filed under: Helminthosporium sp. XXJW-2014a
Lineage: Eukaryota; Fungi; Ascomycota; Dothideomycetes; Pleosporales; Massarinaceae
Description: eukaryotic LSU rRNA
Rfam family: 5.8S ribosomal RNA (bases 217-370)
Source: RNAcentral
GCCUGCGGAAGGAUCAUUACCCAAAAUUUUGACAAUACCUUACUAACCGCGGCCAAGGAUGGUCUGCACCAACGCUCGCCGUAUUGAGGCGGGGUCGGCACCCUCUGUCUACGUGUACCUCUUGUUGUUUCCUCGGCGGGCUCGCCCGUCGCCAGGAAUCUCCCAAACCCUUGCAUCUGAAGCAUACCAAAACUCCGAUAACCACUUAAUUAUCACAACUUUCAACAAUGGAUCUCUUGGUUCUGGCAUCGAUGAAGAACGCAGCGAAAUGCGAAAAGUAGUGUGAAUUGCAGAAUUCCGUGAAUCAUCGAAUCUUUGAACGCACAUUGCGCCCCUCGGUAUUCCGUGGGGCAUGCCUGUUCGAGCGUCAUCUACACCCUCAAGCUCUGCUUGGUGUUGGGCGUCUGUCCCGCCUCCGCGCGUGGACUCGCCCCAAAGUCAUUGGCAGCGGUCGUGCCAGCUUCUCGUGCAGCACAUUGCGCUUCUCGAAGCCCUGGCGGAUCGGCGUCCAGCAAGCCUCCCCACGAAUUUGACCUCGGAUCAGGUAGGGAUACCCGCUGAACUUAAGCAUAUCA